This is a regulatory RNA element of Microvirga vignae, 88 nucleotides long. It matches the Rfam family "Glycine riboswitch aptamer". From Rfam's summary of the family: This family represents the bacterial glycine riboswitch. Glycine riboswitches usually consist of two metabolite-binding aptamers domains with similar structures in tandem. Lineage: Bacteria; Pseudomonadati; Pseudomonadota; Alphaproteobacteria; Hyphomicrobiales; Methylobacteriaceae. The record is from Rfam.
UAGCAAUGAGCGGGAGAGAGCCAGCGCGCUGGCCGCCGAAGGAGCAACUGCCCCGGAAACUCUCAGGCACAGGGACCGCUACCUUGCU